This 624-nucleotide ribosomal RNA is filed under the name uncultured bacterium. RNAcentral's name for it is "bacterial SSU rRNA". It matches the Rfam family "Bacterial small subunit ribosomal RNA", at positions 202 to 814 of the family's 1533-position model. The record is from RNAcentral.
AAAAGGUGGCUAUGCUACCGCUUUUGGAUGGGCCCGCGGCGCAUUAGCUAGUUGGUGGGGUAAAGGCUUACCAAGGCAAUGAUGCGUAGCCGAACUGAGAGGUUGAUCGGCCACAUUGGGACUGAGACACGGCCCAAACUCCUACGGGAGGCAGCAGUAGGGAAUCUUCCACAAUGGGCGAAAGCCUGAUGGAGCAACGCCGCGUGGGUGAAGAAGGUCUUCGGAUCGUAAAACCCUGUUGUUAGAGAAGAAAGUGCGUGAGAGUAACUGUUCACGUUUCGACGGUAUCUAACCAGAAAGCCACGGCUAACUACGUGCCAGCAGCCGCGGUAAUACGUAGGUGGCAAGCGUUAUCCGGAUUUAUUGGGCGUAAAGGGAACGCAGGCGGUCUUUUAAGUCUGAUGUGAAAGCCUUCGGCUUAACCGGAGUAGUGCAUUGGAAACUGGGAGACUUGAGUGCAGAAGAGGAGAGUGGAACUCCAUGUGUAGCGGUGAAAUGCGUAGAUAUAUGGAAGAACACCAGUGGCGAAAGCGGCUCUCUGGUCUGUAACUGACGCUGAGGUUCGAAAGCGUGGGUAGCAAACAGGAUUAGAUACCCUGGUAGUCCACGCCGUAAACGAUGAAU